GGGGAUUUAGCUCAGAGGUAGAGUGCUUGCCUUGCAAGGGGCCCUGAGUUCAGUCCCCA
Molecule: transfer RNA, 59 nt
Filed under: Rattus norvegicus (Norway rat)
Lineage: Eukaryota; Metazoa; Chordata; Mammalia; Rodentia; Muridae
Source: Rfam by way of RNAcentral